UGCCACAGACAUAUCACCCUGCAGCCCAAGACUGGUUGCCCACUGAAGCUAAGCAGGGUUGAGCCUGGUUAGUACCUGGAUGGGAGACCUCUGGUGAAAACUAGGUUGUUGUUGGAA
RNAcentral lists this ribosomal RNA (117 nucleotides) under Sinocyclocheilus grahami. The record is from RNAcentral. Lineage: Eukaryota; Metazoa; Chordata; Actinopteri; Cypriniformes; Cyprinidae.